UAUGAGUGCAUUCUUGUCGUCAGCCUGUGGUAGAAAAGACAGGACCUGAACCGCACUGUGUUGGGUAUCCUUGAUCAUGGUAGCUUAAGACCUUACUGCUACAUUCCAGUAUGUGUACGAAAAGACAGGAUAUGAACUGCACAGGUGAACUUUAUACAGGAUAGUACCCGCUUGUUUGACAAUUAUGUUAUCCUAUAAUGAAUUAACCACGUACAAAAUUUUAAUUUAGAGAACUUUAAUGGCUUUGGCUGCUUUAUCCAAGAGUCAACUAUUGGACAAGUGGGGAUCAUCAGAGUUGCGGCUAGAGAGAGAGAAAAGAAAGGAAGGAUUGCAUUCUAUGCAUACCUGAUUGUUACUAUAGUGGGGGGCAAGCUCACUCGAAUUAGACCAAUAAAAGGUUACACUUUGUCACCCUAUUUAACAGGGGGCUGAACUCGAACUUAUGUGGACUGUCUGCCAAACGGAAGGUGUAAAUUGUCUGCUGUCUCAGAAUUGCAGUCAAAACUCUUCAGCAGCAGAUGCUGUGGCUGCCCAUGGCCUUCGGUCAUCCGCCACAAAGAACAUCAUUCAAUAAGCUCAAAGUGUUCCUCAUCCCUGCAAUACAAAGACUAUCUGAAAUAAACAAAUUGUACGUCUUCAGCUUCAUGUUUUCUAUUCUAGUAAAACUGCUAUAGCUUGGAUGUUAUUAAAGAGUUACGUGAAUAUUGUACCGCAAGACAAUGCAAGGCAUGUCAAGUAGUUAAUAAAUUUAGUAAUUACUGACGUGUACCCACUUUGAGUUUAUCAAUAUACACAUUUAUAUA
Molecule: long non-coding RNA, 803 nt
Organism: Mangifera indica (mango)
Lineage: Eukaryota; Viridiplantae; Streptophyta; Magnoliopsida; Sapindales; Anacardiaceae
Exons: 2
Source: RefSeq, a predicted model, not a curated record